Molecule: ribosomal RNA, 490 nt
Filed under: uncultured bacterium
Lineage: Bacteria
Description: partial 16S ribosomal RNA
Rfam family: Bacterial small subunit ribosomal RNA
Source: RNAcentral
AGUGAACGCUGGCGGUAGGCCUAACACAUGCAAGUCGAACGGCAGCACAGUAAGAGCUUGCUCUUACGGGUGGCGAGUGGCGGACGGGUGGGGAAUACAUCGGAAUCUACUUUUUCGUGGGGGAUAACGUAGGGAAACUUACGCUAAUACCGCAUACGACCUACGGGUGAAAGCAGGGGAUCUUCGGACCUUGCGCGAUUGAAUGAGCCGAUGUCGGAUUAGCUAGUUGGCGGGGUAAAGGCCCACCAAGGCGACGAUCCGUAGCUGGUCUGAGAGGAUGAUCAGCCACACUGGAACUGAGACACGGUCCAGACUCCUACGGGAGGCAGCAGUGGGGAAUAUUGGACAAUGGGCGCAAGCCUGAUCCAGCCAUGCCGCGUGGGUGAAGAAGGCCUUCGGGUUGUAAAGCCCUUUUGUUGGGAAAGAAAAGCAGCAGGUUAAUACCCCGCUGUUCUGACGGUACCCAAAGAAUAAGCACCGGCUAACGUCG